GUAUUUUGACCGUGCAAAGGUAGCGCAAUCACUUGUCUUUUAAAUGGAGACCUGUAUGAAUGGCAUAACGAGGGCUUAACUGUCUCCCUCCCCCAGUCAAUGAAAUUGAUCUUUCCGUGCAGAAGCGGGAAUAAACCCAUAAGACGAGAAGACCCUGUGGAGCUUUAGACAAUAAAUAGCCCAUGUAAAGAACGCUCACUAAAGGAGCUAAAACAAACGGGUGACUAUUUUGCUGUCUUUGGUUGGGGUGACCGCGGGGUAACAAAAAACCCCCAUGUGGAAUAAGAAUAACCUUCUUUAAACCAAGAGUACCUCCUCGAAGUAACAGAACAUCUGACCUAUUAUGACCCGGCUUUGCCGAUCAACGAAACCAGUUACCCCAGGGAUAACAGCGCAAUCCUCNCCCAGAGCCCAUAUCGACGAGGGGGUUUACGACCUCGAUGUUGGAUCAGGACAUCCU
This 460-nucleotide ribosomal RNA is filed under the name Parablennius marmoreus (seaweed blenny). Its description in RNAcentral is "partial 16S ribosomal RNA". It matches the Rfam family "Bacterial large subunit ribosomal RNA", at positions 1936 to 2548 of the family's 2925-position model. The record is from RNAcentral. Lineage: Eukaryota; Metazoa; Chordata; Actinopteri; Blenniiformes; Blenniidae.